UACGGAGGAGGCAAGCGUUAUCCGGAAUGAUUGGGCGUAAAGCGUCCGCAGGUGGCUGUGUAAGUCUGCUGUCAAAGAGCAAAGCUCAACUUUGUAAAGGCAGUGGAAACUACACGGCUAGAGUGCGUUCGGGGCAGAGGGAAUUCCUGGUGUAGCGGUGAAAUGCGUAGAGAUCAGGAAGAACACCGGUGGCGAAGGCGCUCUGCUAGGCCGCAACUGACACUGAGGGACGAAAGCUAGGGGAGCGAAUGGG
This 253-nucleotide ribosomal RNA is filed under the name uncultured bacterium. RNAcentral's name for it is "partial 16S ribosomal RNA". It matches the Rfam family "Bacterial small subunit ribosomal RNA", at positions 524 to 776 of the family's 1533-position model. The record is from RNAcentral.